This 265-nucleotide ribosomal RNA is filed under the name bacterium EcwADG2. Its description in RNAcentral is "partial 16S ribosomal RNA". It matches the Rfam family "Bacterial small subunit ribosomal RNA", at positions 1213 to 1462 of the family's 1533-position model. The record is from RNAcentral.
CCUACACACGUGCUACAAUGGCAGGUACAGAGAGCUAUCCACUUUAGCGAUAUAGGAAGCGAUAUCUUAUUUAUACCGUGUCUCUAGUGUCGGAUUGGAGUCGGCUACUCUGACUCUAUGAAGCUGGAAUCGCUAGUGAAUCGGAUCAUCUAGCCAUGAUGCCGGUGAAUACGUUCCCGGGCCUGGACACACCGCCCGUGCAAGCCAUGACUUNAACGUACCUGGAGGUCGUGACCGUGCAAGAGCUCACGGGUACGAAACGGGG